CCUACGGGAGGCAGCAGUGAGGAAUAUUGGUCAAUGGGCGGGAGCCUGAACCAGCCAAGUCGCGUGAGGGAAGACGGUCCUAUGGAUUGUAAACCUCUUUAGGCGGGGAGCAAUGCCGGGCACGCGUGCCCGGAGGGAGAGUACCCGCAGAAUCAGCAUCGGCUAACUCCGUGCCAGCAGCCGCGGUCAUACGGAGGAUGCGAGCGUUAUCCGGAUUGAUUGGGUUUACAGGUUCGUAGGCGGAUUUUUUAAUCAGCGGUAAAAUGUCCGGGCUCAACCCGGGACGGCCGUUGAAACUGGGGAUCUUGAGUGGGCGAGAAGUAUGCGGAAUGCGUGGUGUAGCGGUGAAAUGCAUAGAUAUCACGCAGAACACCGAUUGCGAAGGCAGCAUACCGGCGCCCGACUGACGCUGAGGCACGAAAGCGUGGGGAUCGAACAGGAUUAGAUACCCUUGUAGUC
This 459-nucleotide ribosomal RNA is filed under the name uncultured bacterium. RNAcentral describes it as "partial 16S ribosomal RNA". It matches the Rfam family "Bacterial small subunit ribosomal RNA", at positions 338 to 795 of the family's 1533-position model. The record is from RNAcentral.